UUGUUUUGGGUGAAACGGGUGU
This 22-nucleotide microRNA is filed under the name Citrus sinensis (sweet orange). Its description in RNAcentral is "csi-miR12105-3p". The record is from miRBase by way of RNAcentral. Lineage: Eukaryota; Viridiplantae; Streptophyta; Magnoliopsida; Sapindales; Rutaceae.